This is a long non-coding RNA of Gallus gallus (chicken), 3616 nucleotides long. The record is from Ensembl. NCBI's taxonomy places the organism in Eukaryota, Metazoa, Chordata, Aves, Galliformes, Phasianidae.
GGGAGCGGCCGCCGGGGAACGCCGCGGCGCGGGAUGCGCUGCGGGCGCCGCUUCUUUCUGGGAGGAACCUCACGUGCCCGGGCCGUUUCCUUCCUUUCUGCUCGGCGCACAGAGCAGGUGUCUGUGCUGCAGCCGGGCCGGGAGGAGCCGCCGCUGCGCCUGUGUACGUCGUACGGUCGUUAAGGUCGGAAAAGACCACGAAGAUCAUCUGGUCCAGCCGUCAGCGCACCGCCGUGUCCCUUAGUGCCACAUCUCUGCGGUUCUCGAACACCUUCAGGGACCCCAUUGCCUCCCUGGGCAGCCGUGCCAGCGCCUCACCGCUCUUUGUGAGAAGAAAUUCUUCUGAAUAGCCAGUCUGCACCUCCGGAGCGACAUAAAGCCGUUACCUCUUGUCCCGUGGCUGUUACUUGAGAGCAGAGGCUGCUUUCAGUGUUCUGCUCCCUAUAGGACUCAUGCCCUAGACCCUUCAGCUGAUCUGUUGCCCUUCUCUAGUCAUGCUGCAGGGCCUCAAUGCCUUUCUUGCAGUGAGGGCCCCACGCUGAACACAGCACUCGAGGUGCGGCCUCGCCAGUGCCAGGACAGAGGGACAGUCACCUCCUGCUGGCUGCCCCGUUUCUGAUAUAAGCCAGGGUGCCAUUGGCCUUCUUGGUCACCUGGCACACUGCAGCCUCAUGUUCAGCCACCUGGCGGCUAACACCGCCAGAUCCUUCUUCCAGCAUUGUGUUGUAGCACUGAGAGCCUUUGCUCACUGCAGACCCAACCCAGGCAACAGUGCAUCCAUAGCUUCCAGCCCUGUAAUACUGAGCAGUACAAUGGGUUCACUGAGGUAAAUUCUGCUCCUCUAUGCCAUAUGCAUUUGGAGUAACUCCAUUAUAUUCAAGUUUAGCACAGGCCCUGAAAACAGUGGUUUUUCUCAGCAGAUCUGAAAUGCACAUCUGGGUAGGGGUGGCUGUGGGGCCGUAUUGCAGGCUCUGCCCUGUCUGGGCCCCACAGUGCUCACCAGAUGUGUUGCCCUCCGCUUGUGCUGGACCUUGGCCUUGUCCUGAACCUGAGGGUGCCGAAUGAGGGGGGGAACUGCCUAGGAGCAGCCUGUGAGGGCUGAGCACGUGUGGCUGAUGUGCAGAAGCAGAUCCGAGCGUGGCCCACGAGGCCCUGAGCAGUACAUCUCACAUCUCACAGGGGAGAACUUGCGUGGGGAUUCUCGGCAUAAAGUGAAAUAAUGGGAUAAAGUUGAGGAGCUUCGGUCUGUGAAAAGAAGAAAGAAAACAAGUUCUGUUGUCACUGUGGUGGACAGCCACUAUUGCAUGUGGGAUCAGCAAUCAUCCCUCUGAAGGCCAAUUGGCUCUGCCUGUGGCUGCAGAGCAUCACCCCACCUGGGUUCAGACUCUUUUCAUCCAGCUCUCGUACAUUCAUUUGGUGUGAUACAAAUCAUCUUGUUCACUUGUGAACUCUUAAAUGCUUUCAGAUAUGUGUCUGCGUUUGUUUUUGUUAUGCUUUGCUUGUUUGUUUGUUGUUUGGUACUGUUUCCCAGUUGUUUCGGCCUUCCCUUUUAAUUAGUUUGUUGCUACAUUUCAGGAGAGCUGUGACAGUUGUAUGUCAGAUUAUCCCAGGCUCCAUUCUUCCACUUAAUACUUCUGCCAUGUUCGUAAUCCUCCAACUUUCAGUUAAUGUUCAGAACGCACCAAAGUGCCAAGAAGAUCCAAGCAAAUUCAGAUUCAAGUAAAAUUAUCCAAGGCACUGUAUCAAAUGCUUUAAUAGGGCCCAGAUAUAUCAGCUGCGUUUCUGGUUCAGACCUCUGCUUUUUGUGUCCUGAGUUUUCUUAUCCGAGCUGUGUCUGCCUGGGGGUCAGCUGGAACUGCACCCAGCAUGGGAGGCAGCUCUGGGGGAGCUUCCUGCAGCUCGGGCAGAGACACACAGGGGAAAGGGCAAAGUGGGGCAGAACUGAGAAAUAAAAUAAAGCUGGUAGAGGUGAACGGAGGAUGAAUUUUACAUUUCGUUUUAGAAGAGCAGGUGUUUAGUUGCAGAAAGUUCUUGGGUGGUGGUUACUCCUGUAAACAGAAGGCUGUGGCUGGGAGAGGAAAUGAAGCAGGGACCACAGCAGUGGUGCUUUGUGUACGUACCUCCCCGCAGGGCACAGCCACCCCUGGCCUUACCCUCUGCUCCCAGCCGUGCUGUGUGCAUGGGACCAGCACGGUGUGGGCAGCCCGUGCUCUGCCACGGCCAGCAGCAGGGCAGCGAGGGUGGGAAGAUGUCUCCCUGUAGGGUGUGAACGCCUCAGAAUCUGGAAUGAGGAGAACAGAAAUGUGUCUAAACCUUGAAAGAGUCACUGUAUGCCCCGAGGUCCAGAUGUGUUCUGUCCUUCAGUUGCUUCAGUUACAGUUAGCAUUUGUUUUUGGACAGUUGGCCUGGAGAGCCCUUCUUUAAUGGUAAAAAAAAAAACAACCCUGAAAUGCAGCUGAGGUGAUUGCAAGUGAACCAGUGCCUCAGCCUUUGGAUGCUGUUCAGAAGUUGUGUUGCUGAGCAGAGGUGACAAACAGCCCUUACGAAACACACGUUUUUUCCAUUUAAAAUAACCACCCUGCAGCUGCUAAGGAUUGAUUUUAGCCUGUUAAAUAUUGGGCCGAUGGACCCCGUGCAGCCCUCCAGUCCUGCACGGAUGCUCUACUGGAUGCAGGAGGAGCUGCACAGUGAGACAGGAGCUGGUGGUGAGCCAAGCUCCAGCACUGCACGUUUGUCACAGCGCUGUGCUGGAGCGUCCCUGCAGCACCAAUGUGUUGUGUGCAUAAUGUCUGCUUUGAUGCACAGUCGGUAUAUCCAGUGACACUGAACAUCUCACUUUGUAGGUAGGAAAAACGUUAUUUCUGAUGGACACAUGAGACAGGGAUGGCUGGGCUGCCAGCCUGCUCGUGGUAACAAUGGACAUUCUGGAGUGCACAGAGCCACGAAGCUUGGAGCUCACACCAUAGCUGUUUAGAAGAGAACUCUCUUCCUUUUCAUCGUUCCACUCAAAUUCAUCUACACAAAUUUUCUCCUCCGGUCCCAUUUCCCAUUGCUGUUGCAGGGCGGUGCGUUACCUUUGUGCCCUAUCAUUGGACUGUAGGGUGCUGCAGCAGCAUCCUCUGCUUUCUUCACGCUAACGUUUUAUUUCAUGUAAUGUAUUUGUGAAUAAUUUAUCAUUAAAGUGGUUUCUUUUUUUGUCUUUUCUGCUUUGGAACUUCUGUGAAAGCCAUUGCAUGCAGUACAGAAGGGAAUGUUAAUUUUCAGUGAUAUUUACGUGCUAUUUUAGGGACCUGAAAAAGGAUGGGAAGGAUUACAGUUAUGACCAAUGCCAUGUCUGUUGUAGCCAUGUACAAAACGUGUUGUUCCCUCCCUUAAUGCAUGUGAUACAAACCGUGCAGAGGUAAAUAGAGAUGGUGGUACUAUAUUUGACGUUCUUCUACUCCCCAGAAAGUCUUUGUUGUGUUGUAGCUGCUAAAUACAGCCCUGUGUCAGUUGCCUCAAGCGAGGAGCGAUGUGUGACAGAUCCCAGAUUUUCUUAAAGUGAAGCUGCUUCCCCUGAACGGUGAGAAAGGAGCUGGCAUUGUGUCUCCUCUGCAAGCACUGCAAAGGCACUGGG